Molecule: non-coding RNA, 26 nt
Filed under: Mus musculus (house mouse)
Lineage: Eukaryota; Metazoa; Chordata; Mammalia; Rodentia; Muridae
Source: RNAcentral
UAAAUGUAGCUUUUGGUUUUCUACAA